GGGGGGGGGGGGGGGGGGGGGGGGGGGGGGGGGGGGGGGCGGACGGGCGGGGAGCGGGCGGCUCGGAUGGGAGCGGCGGGGGGGUGAGUGACACGUGGAGAACCUACCUAUAAGACGGGGAGAACUUCGGGAAACCGGAGCUAAUACCGGAUAAUCUUUUGAACCGCAUGGUUCAAAAGUGAAAGACGGUCGUGCUGUCACUUAUAGAUGGAUCCGCGCUGCAUUAGCUAGUUGGUAAGGUAACGGCUUACCAAGGCAACGAUGCAUAGCCGACCUGAGAGGGUGAUCGGCCACACUGGAACUGAGACACGGUCCAGACUCCUACGGGAGGCAGCAGUAGGGAAUCUUCCGCAAUGGGCGAAAGCCUGACGGAGCAACGCCGCGUGAGUGAUGAAGGUCUUCGGAUCGUAAAACUCUGUUAUUAGGGAAGAACAUAUGUGUAAGUAACUGUGCACAUCUUGACGGUACCUAAUCAGAAAGCCACGGCUAACUACGUG
RNAcentral lists this ribosomal RNA (497 nucleotides) under uncultured bacterium. RNAcentral's name for it is "partial 16S ribosomal RNA". It matches the Rfam family "Bacterial small subunit ribosomal RNA", at positions 38 to 507 of the family's 1533-position model. The record is from RNAcentral.